GUGAGUUGCAUAAUGCCAAGUUGGCUGUGGGGCACUUUGCUCCAUGGGUGCCCUCUCAAGUCAUCUGAAGCUGAGGUGGUAUAGGCUUGGAAUGUUCUGUGGUGCUUUGCCUCUCUGUCACCAUGGCUAGAAACAGCUGGAGCUAAAAAUAUUCCAGACUUUGUCAUGGAAAAUGGAUGGAACAGUACUCCAGUACAAGCCUAGAAACUAGGGAAUAUAUAACCUACGUGAAAGAGAACAAUGUUUUUUUUCAUCACAGAACCAAAACCUUGGAGAAAGCUAACAUGGUGCUUUGCAUUCGUUUGCUUCACUGUCACUAAAAAUAACAGAAGUGA
This is a long non-coding RNA of Suricata suricatta (meerkat), 335 nucleotides long. RefSeq lists it as uncharacterized. The transcript has 2 exons. NCBI's taxonomy places the organism in Eukaryota, Metazoa, Chordata, Mammalia, Carnivora, Herpestidae. The record is from RefSeq and is a predicted model, not a curated record.